AGGUCUGUCCUUUUCCAGGAAGGGAAAAGUUAACCUUCCGACUGACGACGUGAGGAAACAGAAUAGAAAGGUUCUCAACUCUUCGGACCGGAAGUGGUCAUGAUCCACCUUAAGGCAUCGGCAGCGCUUUCUAUUUCAGGUUACUGCCUGAGUCCUACAUGAGCCCAGCAUUGGUGCGAGCUGGUGUGAUGUGUGAGCAUCCAAGGGUGCAAGGAGAUUUCAACAUGUGCUCCUGUGAUGAGAAGUUUUAAGUGUCAUCUUACCAUAACCUCGAACCAUCUGAGAAGAGAGCUGCAAUUGAG
This is a long non-coding RNA of Peromyscus californicus insignis, 302 nucleotides long. RefSeq lists it as uncharacterized. NCBI's taxonomy places the organism in Eukaryota, Metazoa, Chordata, Mammalia, Rodentia, Cricetidae. The record is from RefSeq and is a predicted model, not a curated record. The transcript has 3 exons.